CCUACGGGCGGCAGCAGUGAGGAAUAUUGGUCAAUGGGCGGAAGCCUGAACCAGCCAAGUAGCGUGCAGGAUGACGGCCCUACGGGUUGUAAACUGCUUUUAUACGGGAAUAACGCGCCUUACGUGUAGGGCUUUGCAUGUACCGUAUGAAUAAGGACCGGCGAAUUCCGUGCCAGCAGCCGCGGUAAUACGGAAGGUCCGGGCGUUAUCCGGAUUUAUUUGGUUUAAAGGGGGCGUAGGCAGCAGGUCAAGAGUGCUGUGAAAUGUCCGGGCUCAACCCGGGCCUUGCAGCGCGAACUGGCGUGCUUGAGUCCGCGGAAAGCAGGCGGAAUUCGUCGUGUAGGGGUGAAAUGCUUAGAUAUGACGAAGAACCCCGAUUGCGAAGGCAGCUUGCUGCAGCGGAACUGACGCUGAUGCUCGAAAGCGCGGGUAUCGAACAGGAUUAGAUACCCUGGUAGUC
RNAcentral lists this ribosomal RNA (460 nucleotides) under uncultured bacterium. RNAcentral describes it as "partial 16S ribosomal RNA". It matches the Rfam family "Bacterial small subunit ribosomal RNA", at positions 338 to 795 of the family's 1533-position model. The record is from RNAcentral.